CCCCUACUUAUAUACCCUACCAGACGAACAUAAUUAUUCAUACUCCUCAGAAUCCUGUUCAAUGUUCAACCCCGAGGAGUACAUUGUCAUAAGUCUAUUAAUCCAGUACAUUUCCCUAAUCGUUGCUUCUGCUGGGUUGGUUUUGUAAUUAUGACUAUAUCACAAUCAUUCAUUAAGCCAUUAUGGUUUUCACCUAAGAAAUGCGAAUGAAAAAAGGCUUGUGUAUGAGCUUUGUUGGACAUUGAUUUAUAAUUGUUCCAUCGAAAUAUAUAUAUAUAUAUAUAUAU
Non-coding RNA from Paramuricea clavata, 287 nucleotides. The record is from the annotation of a GenBank genome assembly. Lineage: Eukaryota; Metazoa; Cnidaria; Anthozoa; Malacalcyonacea; Plexauridae.